Molecule: ribosomal RNA, 464 nt
Filed under: uncultured bacterium
Lineage: Bacteria
Description: partial 16S ribosomal RNA
Rfam family: Bacterial small subunit ribosomal RNA
Source: RNAcentral
GACGAACGCUGGCGGCGUGCUUAACACAUGCAAGUCGUACGGUAAGGCCCUUUCGGGGGUCCACGAGUGGCGAACGGGUGAGUAACACGUGAGUAACCUGCCCACAACUUUGGGAUAACGCUAGGAAACUGGUGCUAAUACUGGAUAUGUGCUCCUGCUGCAUGGUGGGGGUUGAAAGCUCCGGCGGUUGUGGAUGGACUCGCGGCCUAUCAGCUUGUUGGUGGGGUAGUGGCCUACCAAGGCGGCGACGGGUAGCCGGCCUGAGAGGGUGACCGGCCACAUUGGGACUGAGAUACGGCCCAGACUCCUACGGGAGGCAGCAGUGGGGAAUAUUGCACAAUGGGCGCAAGCCUGAUGCAGCAACGCCGCGUGCGGGAUGACGGCCUUCGGGUUGUAAACCGCUUUCAGCAGGGACGAAGCUUUUUGUGACGGUACCUGCAGAAGAAGCACCGGCUAACUACGUG